GGGGGGGGGGGGGGGGGGGGGGGGGGGGGGGGGGGGGGGGGGGGGGGGGGGGGGGGGGGGGUGGGGGGGGGGGGGGGUGGGGGGGGGGUGGGGGGUGCGUCGGAAUCUGGUGUUUGGGGGGGGGUGACGUCGGGAGACUUAGGCUGGUACCGCCUACGCCCUACGGGUGAAAGCAGGGGGUCUUCGGACCUUGCGCGCUUGACUGAGCCGGUGUCGGAUCAGCUAGCUGGCGGGGUAAGGGCCGACCAAGGCGACGAUCCGUAGGUGGUCUGAGAGGAGGAUCAGCCACACUGGAACUGAGACACGGGCCAGAGUCCGACGGGAGGCAGCAGGGGGGAAUAUUGGACCAUGGGCGCAAGCCUGAUCCAGACAUACCGCGUGGGUGAAGAAGGCCUUCGGGUUGUAAAGCCCUUUUGUUGGGAAAGAAAAGCAGCAGGUUAAUACCCCGCUGUUCUGACGGUACCCAAAGAAUAAGCACCGGCUAACUUCGUG
Molecule: ribosomal RNA, 492 nt
Filed under: uncultured bacterium
Lineage: Bacteria
Description: partial 16S ribosomal RNA
Rfam family: Bacterial small subunit ribosomal RNA (bases 61-492)
Source: RNAcentral